AUGACGAAGAUCCAAUGUGCUACAGAAAUAAUGAUCAAAAACACAUUAGAAAAAAAAUUACUACUUGCCAGACUUACAUCAUUUUUCAACAUGCAAGAAGAAGAAAAACUGCAAGAUUAUAACAUGGUAAGCAGAUCAGCUUGCGUAUAUGUUAUGAAAGGUUAUUUUUUUUAUUUUAUGUUUCUAAAUAUAAGAAGAUUUCCAAAUAUUUUAUUUUUAUUUUUUGUUUUGCAGUUCCUUCUACCAUGUUCGUUGCACGGGUUUGAGCAAGACGAAAAUACAAGUCAUUACUUCACCAUUACAGUUAACAUGCAAAAACAGCACUUUGAACUCCUUGACUCUUCAACUGCAUAUCCAGGCACAAUAGAAUUCUUCAACAAUGUAACCAACAAAUUAAUGAAAAUAUGGAAGCAUGUAAGCACAGAGCUACAACUUUCACAAAAAAGCAUCGACCAUUUCAAAAGGGUCAAACUACAUGUGCCACUUCAAGGAGAAGACAUGUAA
This 504-nucleotide ribosomal RNA is filed under the name Triticum aestivum (bread wheat). RNAcentral's name for it is "partial small subunit ribosomal RNA". Lineage: Eukaryota; Viridiplantae; Streptophyta; Magnoliopsida; Poales; Poaceae. The record is from RNAcentral.